UCCCUCUUAGCUCAGUCGGUAAAGAAUCUGCCUGCAAUGCAGGAGACCCGGGUUCGAUUCCUGGACUGGAAA
RNAcentral lists this transfer RNA (72 nucleotides) under Bos taurus (domestic cattle). It matches the Rfam family "tRNA". Rfam says of the family: Transfer RNA (tRNA) molecules are approximately 80 nucleotides in length. Their secondary structure includes four short double-helical elements and three loops (D, anti-codon, and T loops). Lineage: Eukaryota; Metazoa; Chordata; Mammalia; Artiodactyla; Bovidae. The record is from Rfam by way of RNAcentral. RNAcentral also lists the same sequence under 1 other name.